Molecule: long non-coding RNA, 1499 nt
Filed under: Salmo salar (Atlantic salmon)
Lineage: Eukaryota; Metazoa; Chordata; Actinopteri; Salmoniformes; Salmonidae
Description: lncRNA (ENSSSAG00000112542.1)
Source: RNAcentral
GUAGUAUUUGUCUUGCUAAGAUGACGCCGAAGAGCAUGGCUGACAUUUUACAUGCCCGUAACCAAUUGUGCUAUUCUGUUAGUUUUUUUGCAUUGUUUGUAACGUAGUUUUUAAAACUUAUUUUGAACAUAAUGUUGCUGCUACUGUCUCUUAUGACCGAAAAUAACUUCUGGAGAUCAGAACUGGGAUUACAUACCACGAACUGGAAGAAGCUUUUUCCUUUAACGAGUCUGACAAGAAAGAUAUACUGCUCUCCCGGGAACAGGCUCAGAUCCUCGUCAUUUGCGUGAAGAAAAGACAGAGGAAAAGAGGAUGCAGAUCAGGCUACCUUUUGAGAAUCCGUAGGCGAGCGAGUAAACUCCCACUGCCAUCAAUUCUACUUGCUAACAUGCAAUCAUUUGAAAAUAAAAUUGAUGACCUACGAUUACGAUUAUCCUACCAACGGGACAUUAAGAACUGUAAUAUCUUAUGUUUCACAGAGUCGUGGCUGAACGACGACAGGGAUAAUAUAGAGCUGGAAGGAUUUUCAAUGCACCGGCAGAACAGAGAAGCUACGUCUGAUGGUCGCAUGCGGUUGGACACAUGGAGGAGAGAAUCAUUUUCGCAGUAUCCUCAAAACCGUGUCUUUUUGACACAACUGCUGACAGCUACAGGGACAUAAACACAAAAAAUCCUGCUUGGAGACAAGUGUCCACGAUAGUAGGAUUGCCAGGUCAGUUUAGUAGUGGGCAUGUGCCAGAUGUGGCUAGUUAACGUGACCCACAACAAUGGGUCCUGGAGAAGACUAGCCUACCUUCAUCAGAGCAGAAGGCACCCCAAUGUUCUUUCCAUUUGGUAACAUUGCAUAAUUAAAAAAGGAUUCUAAACCAACUUUGGGAAAAGUUAUAGUCCUAAUGAACAUUCUGUAAAAGUACAUCUGAUGUCAAAUAGGGACUAUUAACUAGAGAGCCCUUUAGCUAGCUAGGUUGCACAUAAAAACAAUGUAUCAAAUAUAAAUCAAUUAUGGUAUCAAAGGCUUUAAAAAUGUACUAGAAUGUAGCUUACCGUAGACAAAUCACCAGGCGUUCAACUGGGCUGAUGGACUCCCGGUAGUUGGUAUCCAUCCGGAUGAUCCUGGCUCCAACCAUCUGAAGCAGGUGAUCGAACUGGCUUCGGUCCAGACGAAAGUAACUUCGGAAUUCCUCUCCAAGCAGUCGAAGCUCUUGAAUGAGACGGUGGAACUCCUCUGCCUGCUUUCGGGACUUUAACCAUCUCUGGACCCAUACAGACCUGCGCUUUCGGCGGGGCUGAUCCCGGCCCAACAGCGCGAUCAAGACCACCUUCCUCAACGUUGGUCUCAUUGUUGAAAGAGCCGACUCUGCUAUCUUGACUAUUAUGCAUUUUGCUCCAAAGCUGCAUUUUGGAGGGAAAUUAUAUUAUAGGCUCUCACAAUUAAUUUGUGGAUGUCAUCGAAUAAAUAAUAUACUUGGCAAAUAAAUGAAUAAAAAAAUGUAAAGAAA